Molecule: ribosomal RNA, 587 nt
Filed under: Meyerozyma guilliermondii
Lineage: Eukaryota; Fungi; Ascomycota; Pichiomycetes; Serinales; Debaryomycetaceae
Description: eukaryotic LSU rRNA
Rfam family: Eukaryotic large subunit ribosomal RNA
Source: RNAcentral
UCCAUGGCAUGCCUUAGUAGCGGCGAGUGAGCGGCAAAAGCUCAAAUUUGAAAUCUGGCGCCUUCGGUGUCCGAGUUGUAAUUUGAAGAUUGUAACCUUGGGGUUGGCUCUUGUCUAUGUUUCUUGGAACAGGACGUCACAGAGGGUGAGAAUCCCGUGCGAUGAGAUGCCCAAUUCUAUGUAAGGUGCUUUCGAAGAGUCGAGUUGUUUGGGAAUGCAGCUCUAAGUGGGUGGUAAAUUCCAUCUAAAGCUAAAUAUUGGCGAGAGACCGAUAGCGAACAAGUACAGUGAUGGAAAGAUGAAAAGAACUUUGAAAAGAGAGUGAAAAAGUACGUGAAAUUGUUGAAAGGGAAGGGUUUGAGAUCAGACUCGAUAUUUUGUGAGCCUUGCCUUCGUGGCGGGGUGACCCGCAGCUUAUCGGGCCAGCAUCGGUUUGGGCGGUAGGAUAAUGGCGUAGGAAUGUGACUUUACUUCGGUGAAGUGUUAUAGCCUGCGUUGAUGCUGCCUGCCUAGACCGAGGACUGCGAUUUUAUCAAGGAUGCUGGCAUAAUGAUCCCAAACAACCCGUCUUGAAACACGGACCCAAA